RNAcentral lists this ribosomal RNA (496 nucleotides) under uncultured bacterium. RNAcentral's name for it is "partial 16S ribosomal RNA". It matches the Rfam family "Bacterial small subunit ribosomal RNA", at positions 29 to 507 of the family's 1533-position model. The record is from RNAcentral.
AUGAACGCUGGCGGCGUGCCUAAUACAUGCAAGUCGAGCGAACAGACGAGGAGCUUGCUCCUCUGACGUUGGCGGCGGACGGGUGAGUAACACGUGGAUAACCUACCUAUAAGACUGGGAUAACUUCGGGAAACCGGAGCUAAUACCGGAUAAUAUAUUGAACCGCAUGGUUCAAUAGUGAAAGACGGUUUUGCUGUCACUUAUAGAUGGAUCCGCGCCGCAUUAGCUAGUUGGUAAGGUAACGGCUUACCAAGGCAACGAUGCGUAGCCGACCUGAGAGGGUGAUCGGCCACACUGGAACUGAGACACGGUCCAGACUCCUACGGGAGGCAGCAGUAGGGAAUCUUCCGCAAUAGGCGAAAGCCUGACGGAGCAACGCCGCGUGAGUGAUGAAGGUCUUCGGAUCGUAAAACUCUGUUAUUAGGGAAGAACAAAUGUGUAAGUAACUAUGCACGUCUUGACGGUACCUAAUCAGAAAGCCACGGCUAACUACGUG